Molecule: ribosomal RNA, 1452 nt
Filed under: uncultured bacterium
Lineage: Bacteria
Description: 16S ribosomal RNA
Rfam family: Bacterial small subunit ribosomal RNA
Source: RNAcentral
GAUGAACGCUAGCGAUAGGCCUAACACAUGCAAGUCGAGGGGCAGCACAUGAGUAGCAAUACGAUGGUGGCGACCGGCGCACGGGUGAGUAACACGUAUGCAACCUACCUUUAACAGGGGAAUAACCCGUUGAAAAACGGACUAAUACUCCAUGACACAGGGGUCCCGCAUGGGAAUAUUUGUUAAAGAUUUAUCGGUUGAAGAUGGGCAUGCGUUCCAUUAGCUUGUUGGUAAGGUAACGGCUUACCAAGGCGACGAUGUUUAGGGGACCUGAGAGGGUUGUCCCCCACGCUGGUACUGAGACACGGACCAGACUCCUACGGGGGGCAGCAGUGAGGAAUAUUGGUCAAUGGGCGCAAGCCUGAACCAGCCAUCCCGCGUGAAGGAAGAAUGCGCUACGCGUUGUAAACUUCUUUUCCAGGGGGAGAAUAAUCCUGUCGUGACAGGACUUGACGGUACUCUGGGAAUAAGCAUCGGCUAACUCCGUGCCAGCAGCCGCGGUAAUACGGAGGAUGCGAGCGUUAUCCGGAUUUAUUGGGUUUAAAGGGUGCGUAGGCGGAUUGAUAAGUCAGUGGUGAAAUUCUACAGCUUAACUGUGGACUUGCCGUUGAUACUGUUAGUCAUGAGUGUGGUCAAGGCAGGCGGAAUGUGUAAUGUAGCGGUGAAAUGCUUAGAUAUUACACAGAACACCGAUUGCGAAGGCAGCUUGCUGGGUCAUUACUGACGCUGAUGCACGAAAGCGUGGGGAUCAAACAGGAUUAGAUACCCUGGUAGUCCACGCCGUAAACUAUGAUCACUCGCUGUUGGCGAUACACAGUCAGCGGCUAAGCAAAAGCAUUAAGUGAUCCACCUGGGGGAGUACGGGCCGCAAGGCUGAAACUCAAAAGGAAUUGACGGGGGCCCGCACAAGCGGAGGAACAUGUGGUUUAAUUCGAUGAUACGCGAGGAACCUUACCUGGGCUUAAAUGUGGAGUGCAUUGGUGAGAAAUCAUCAUUUUCUUCGGAACUCUCUGCAAGGUGCUGCAUGGUUGUCGUCAGCUCGUGCCGUGAGGUGUCGGGUUAAGUCCCAUAACGAGCGCAACCCUUAUCGUUAGUUGCCAGCGGGUCAAGCCGGGGACUCUAGCGAAACUGCCGGUGUAAACCGAGAGGAAGGUGGGGAUGACGUCAAAUCAGCACGGCCCUUAUGUCCAGGGCUACACACGUGUUACAAUGGCCGGUACAGAGGGCAGCUACCUGGAGACAGGAUGCGAAUCUCGAAAGCCGGUCUCAGUUCGGAUCGGAGUCUGCAACUCGACUCCGUGAAGCUGGAUUCGCUAGUAAUCGCGCAUCAGCCACGGCGCGGUGAAUACGUUCCCGGGCCUUGUACACACCGCCCGUCAAGCCAUGGAAGUUGGGGGUGCCUGAAGUCCGUAACCGCGAGGAGCGGCCUAGGGUAAAACCAGUGACUGGGGC